UGAACGCUGGCGGCGUGCCUAAUACAUGCAAGUCGAGCGAACAGACGAGGAGCUUGCUCCUCUGACGUUAGCGGCGGACGGGUGAGUAACACGUGGAUAACCUACCUAUAAGACUGGGAUAACUUCGGGAAACCGGAGCUAAUACCGGAUAAUAUAUUGAACCGCAUGGUUCAAUAGUGAAAGACGGUUUUGCUGUCACUUAUAGAUGGAUCCGCGCCGCAUUAGCUAGUUGGUAAGGUAACGGCUUACCAAGGCGACGAUGCGUAGCCGACCUGAGAGGGUGAUCGGCCACACUGGAACUGAGACACGGUCCAGACUCCUACGGGAGGCAGCAGUAGGGAAUCUUCCGCAAUGGGCGAAAGCCUGACGGAGCAACGCCGCGUGAGUGAUGAAGGUCUUCGGAUCGUAAAACUCUGUUAUUAGGGAAGAACAAAUGUGUAAGUAACUAUGCACGUCUUGACGGUACCUAGUCAGAAAGCCACGGCUAACUACGUG
This 495-nucleotide ribosomal RNA is filed under the name uncultured bacterium. RNAcentral's name for it is "partial 16S ribosomal RNA". It matches the Rfam family "Bacterial small subunit ribosomal RNA", at positions 30 to 507 of the family's 1533-position model. The record is from RNAcentral.